CCUGUCACUAAGGUGUGAUAUCUCUCCUAUUGUCUACUGUAUUGUCCCCUGUCACUAAGGUGUGAUAUCUCUCCUAUUGUCUACUGUAUUGUCCCUGUCACUAAGGUGUGAUAUCUCUCCUAUUGUCUACUGUAUUGUCCCCUGUCACUAAGGUGUGAUAUCUCUCCUAUUGUCUACUGUAUUGUCCCUGUCACUAAGGUGUGAUAUCUCUCCUAUUGUCUACUGUAUUGUCACUAAGGUGUGAUAUCUCUCCUAUUGUCUACUGUAUUGUCCCUGUCACUAAGGUGUGAUAUCUCUCCUAUUGUCUACUGUAUUGUCCCUGUCACUAAGGUGUGAUAUCUCUCCUAUAGUCUACUGUAUUGUCCCCUGUCACUAAGGUGUGAUAUCUCUCCUAUUGUCUACUGUAUUGUCCCCUGUCACUAAGGUGUGAUAUCUCUCCUAUUGUCUACUGUAUUGUCACUAAGGUGUGAUAUCUCUCCUAUUGUCUACUGUAUUGUCCCUGUCACUAAGGUGUGAUAUCUCUCCUAUUGUCUACUGUAUUGUCCCUGUCACUAAGGUGUGAUAUCUCUCCUAUUGUCUACUGUAUUG
This is a long non-coding RNA of Oncorhynchus keta (chum salmon), 588 nucleotides long. RefSeq lists it as uncharacterized. Lineage: Eukaryota; Metazoa; Chordata; Actinopteri; Salmoniformes; Salmonidae. The record is from RefSeq and is a predicted model, not a curated record. The transcript is spliced from 4 exons.